UUGCUUGCUUCGGCAGCACAUAUACUAAAAUUGGAAUGAUAUAUAGAAGAUUAGCAUGGCCCCUGCACAAGAAUGACACGCAAAUUUGUAAAGCAGUCCAUAGUUUU
Molecule: small nuclear RNA, 107 nt
Organism: Tupaia belangeri (northern tree shrew)
Lineage: Eukaryota; Metazoa; Chordata; Mammalia; Scandentia; Tupaiidae
Source: Ensembl